UUGGAGGGCAAGUCUGGUGCCAGCAGCCGCGGUAAUUCCAGCUCCAAUAGCGUAUAUUAAAGUUGUUGCAGUUAAAAAGCUCGUAGUUGAAUUUCGGGAUCAGCAAGUUGGUCGUGCCUCUGGUACGUACUGGCUUUACUGGUUCCUCCUUCUUGAAGAACUGUAAUGUCAUUAAUUUUGUGUUGCAGGGAAUCAGGACUGUUACUUUGAAAAAAUUAGAGUGUUUAAAGCAAGCUAACGCUUGAAUACAUUAGCAUGGAAUAAUGAAAUAGGACGUUUGAUCCUAUUUUGUUGGUUUCUAGGAUUGACGUAAUGAUUAAUAGGGAUAGUUGGGGGCAUUAGUAUUCGAUUGUCAGAGGUGAAAUUCUUGGAUUUAUUGAAGACUAACUACUGCGAAAGCAUUUGCCAAGGAUGUUUUCAUUAAUCAAGAACGAAAGUUAGGGGAUCGAAGACGAUCAGAUACCGUCGUAGUCUUAACCAUAAACUAUGCCGACUAGGGAUCGGAUGAUGUUAAUUUUUUAAUGACUCAUUCGGCGCCUUACGGGAAAC
Molecule: ribosomal RNA, 549 nt
Filed under: uncultured Glomeromycotina
Lineage: Eukaryota; Fungi; Glomeromycota
Description: SSU rRNA
Rfam family: Eukaryotic small subunit ribosomal RNA
Source: RNAcentral